GGGGCUGUGGCUGAGUGAUAGAGCAGCUGCUUGGCAUGCAGAAGGUCCCAGGUUCAAUUUCCAGCAUCUCCA
RNAcentral lists this transfer RNA (72 nucleotides) under Sphaerodactylus townsendi. RNAcentral describes it as "tRNA-Ala". It matches the Rfam family "tRNA". Rfam says of the family: Transfer RNA (tRNA) molecules are approximately 80 nucleotides in length. Their secondary structure includes four short double-helical elements and three loops (D, anti-codon, and T loops). Lineage: Eukaryota; Metazoa; Chordata; Lepidosauria; Squamata; Sphaerodactylidae. The record is from RNAcentral.